Molecule: long non-coding RNA, 275 nt
Organism: Bufo gargarizans (Asiatic toad)
Lineage: Eukaryota; Metazoa; Chordata; Amphibia; Anura; Bufonidae
Exons: 2
Source: RefSeq, a predicted model, not a curated record
CAGCACUGACCUCCCAGCACAGGAGGAGGCAGAAGCGAUAAUAAACAGCCGGGACCGGGGCUGGAUAGAAAGUGACAUGACGGACAUGACAGGUCAAAUACUGAAACAUGCAUUGGGGUUGACGCAGCGGAGCGCUGAGAACACUCUUCCCCCUCAGGAACUGCACCGGGAAGGUUGGUUCCGCCUGUCAGUCUGUUCCGGGUCCCGGCGGCUUCAUUCGGAAGAUUUCUUCAUGAGAUUCGUGCAAAAAUGAAUAAAAAUAGCUGACACCUACA